AUGGUCCAUUUUAACACACAUUUUCUUCUUAAUUUUAUUUUUCUGACUUAAAAUUAUUUUUAGCUUUUGAUUUUUGGGAUGAAGGUUGACCAAUCUCCCAUGGUCAACCUGACCUUUUCUUGGAAUUUUAUUUCCCAUUUUCAAUUUAAUUUGGAUUUAUUUUUAUUUUUCUGACUUAAAAUUAUUUUUAGCUUUUGAUUUUUGGGAUGAAGGUUGACCAAUCUCCCAUGGUCAACCUGACCUUUU
Molecule: long non-coding RNA, 246 nt
Filed under: Lathyrus oleraceus (garden pea)
Lineage: Eukaryota; Viridiplantae; Streptophyta; Magnoliopsida; Fabales; Fabaceae
Description: Pisum sativum (pea) long non-coding RNA (PSAT_LNC020977)
Source: RNAcentral